This 253-nucleotide ribosomal RNA is filed under the name uncultured bacterium. RNAcentral describes it as "partial 16S ribosomal RNA". It matches the Rfam family "Bacterial small subunit ribosomal RNA", at positions 524 to 776 of the family's 1533-position model. The record is from RNAcentral.
UGCGAAGGGGGCUAGCGUUGCUCGGAAUUACUGGGCGUAAAGCGCACGUAGGCGGUCUUUUAAGUCGGGGGUGAAAUCCUGGAGCUCAACUCCAGAACUGCCUUCGAUACUGGAAGACUUGAGUCCGGGAGAGGUGAGUGGAACUGCGAGUGUAGAGGUGAAAUUCGUAGAUAUUCGCAAGAACACCAGUGGCGAAGGCGGCUCACUGGCCCGGUACUGACGCUGAGGUGCGAAAGCGUGGGGAGCAAACAGG